UACAGAGGUCUCAAGCGUUGUUCGGAUUCAUUGGGCGUAAAGGGUGCGUAGGCGGCCAACUAAGUCAGACGUGAAAUCCCUCAGCUUAACUGGGGAACUGCGUCUGAUACUGGAUGGCUUGGAUUUGGGAGAGGGAUACGGAAUUCCAGGUGUAGCGGUGAAAUGCGUAGAUAUCUGGAGGAACACCGGUGGCGAAGGCGGCAUCCUGGACCAAUAUUGACGCUGAGGAGCGAAAGCCAGGGGAGCAAACGGG
This 253-nucleotide ribosomal RNA is filed under the name uncultured bacterium. Its description in RNAcentral is "partial 16S ribosomal RNA". It matches the Rfam family "Bacterial small subunit ribosomal RNA", at positions 524 to 776 of the family's 1533-position model. The record is from RNAcentral.